AUGGAUUUGGAGUUGAUUUUUGUUUUCCUUGUUGCUCUUUUAAAAGCUGUCCAGUGCAAGGAUCACCUAGUGUAUUCUGGGGGUCAUCUGGUACAGCCUGGGGCAUCCCUGAAACUCUCCUGUGUAGCUUCUGGAUUCAGUUUUACUAGAGAUUGGGUGAAAUGGGUCUGCCAGGCUCCUGAGAAGGGGCUGGAGAGGGUUGCAGACAUUAAUGGAGACAACAGUGCCACAAGGUAUGUGCCUUCCGUGAAGGGCCAAUUCUACAUCUCCAGAGACAAUGCCAAGAAUACUCUGUACCUGAAAAUGAACAAUCUAAAGUAUAAGGACACAGCCACCUUUUACUGGGCUAGCUACACAAUAAUGAGACUUAAGUGUGAACCCAGACAUAAACCUCACCCUGAGGCCAUUCAUGGCCACCAGGGGGAACACAGCACAAACAGACCACAUACUGUCUAG
Molecule: non-coding RNA, 456 nt
Organism: Mesocricetus auratus (golden hamster)
Lineage: Eukaryota; Metazoa; Chordata; Mammalia; Rodentia; Cricetidae
Source: the annotation of a RefSeq genome assembly